CCAUGGGCUCAUGUUUGUUGACGCAUUGAGACAUUAAUUAACAUGGGAGAAGCACCCUCCUCUCUGCAGCAUUCACGAACAGGGACUUUUUUCUAACUCAUGUGUUCAAUAUGCUUUUCUGUAUCAAUUCUAUCUGGGUUCUUUUAUUUUUAAAACACUAAUCCCAGUCCUCUUUUGCAGCACCUUGCUUCCAAUGCCAAGUUCUUAGCAAAGUAAGCCUCAUUGCAAGCAUUGUUUAAAGGAAAGAAAUGUAAAUAAAUUUUUUUUAAUCGAUUUUUAUCCUUAAAAAACGGGUAAUUCUGACGUCUUAAAUACUAUGAGAAGUAAUUUAUGUAAGUGAAAAACUGCUGUUUAGGCACAAAGAGAAUAACAAUGCCGCUUUAGCUGCAUAACUGAGGGUUAAAUUGAACACAGCACUGCUAAAGGAAGAUUGACCAGGAAACCAGUUUGAUGCCAGGCACACUGGUCUGGGUGCUCCAUAGCCAUUCAGAAUUGUUCUCAAGGAGACCUGGCAGAACUGGUGCUCAAGGAGAUGAAGACUCCCAUAACUUUUUUCCAGCCUACAUGGUCAACUGAGAGAGCAGACCUCUCCAUCAGCUGUUCCUUCUCUACUUCCCUCACUGAGCAACUCUGCAGCUCUUCAGAGUACAGGAAGAGGGGUUUACCCUUUGAUAGCAUCAUCUGCCACCAGCUCAGAAGCCAGUCUCCUGGAUUUUGGGCAGCCUAGACACAAUGAGUAUUGUCUGUUGAAUCAAAACCUUGUAAUAUACUAUUAAGCAGGUUUGUAGUGGGUACCCCAAAUUAAUAAAAAUGUGUGCCCUAAGAAAUUUGUCUGCAACUGUGAAACACAAAACUUUUCUCUAAAGACUGUUCAUCUGGGAUGACUGCAAGCAGCCAUUCUGAUCCCAUCAUCUCUGUGUUUGUCUUAUUCAAUAAAUGAGACUGUAGGAAAAGAAAAUGAUUGCUUUAUCUUUGUAUUUUAAGAAAAGUUAAGUCAAUUUGCUAGUGAAUUGAAGUCUAGUAUAAAUGUAUGCUAGAGGAUAGGAGAAACUAUGUACAGAGUCCUCCUGAAAGAGAAAUAUUUCAUAGGAAAACAGAGGGGUUGGGAAUGGGGGGACUGGACUAAAUGACUCGUGAGAUCAUUUAGUCCAGCCCUGUAAUCAAAGCAGGAUCAUCCCCCAACUAAAUCAUCCCAGUCACGUGGCUAACCUUCUCUUAAAUUUUCAGGGAUGGAGAUUCCAUAAGUGUCACAAUCCAGUUCUACUAUUUUACCCCCCCCUUGCCCCACCCCCAUCAGACAAUUCAUCCAAAUCUCAAACCUAAAUUGCCUCUCCUGAACUUAGGGUCAUUACUCCUAGUCCUAGUCCUGUUUUACUGAGAAAUACCUCUGUCCCCUUUUUAUAAUUGCCCUUUAGGUGUUUGAAGACUGAUAGUAAAUCCUGUCUCAGUUUUCUGUUCUCCAGACUAAAAAACCCUAGUUCUUUCAGCUUUUCCUUAUUAAGUCUUGUUUCCCAGGCCUUUAAUGAUGUUUGUUACUCUCCACCAGACUCUUUCCAACCUGUCCAUGUCUUUCUUGAAGUGUGGAACUGAAAACUGGACACAGUACUCCAAGAAGACUUCAACAGUGCCAAAUAGAAAAAUCACUUUUCUUGGUCCGCAAAAGACCCUUCUGUUAAUAUAACCCAAUAUUCUGUUGGUGGUUUUCACAAUAAAAGCAUAUUGUUGCCUCAUUUUGGACAAUGCAAAUAAAGAUUGAAUGGAAUAGCUUUC
Molecule: long non-coding RNA, 1770 nt
Organism: Alligator mississippiensis (American alligator)
Lineage: Eukaryota; Metazoa; Chordata; Crocodylia; Alligatoridae
Exons: 2
Source: RefSeq, a predicted model, not a curated record